This 732-nucleotide long non-coding RNA is filed under the name Solanum tuberosum (potato). RNAcentral describes it as "long non-coding RNA (STUB_LNC000875)". Lineage: Eukaryota; Viridiplantae; Streptophyta; Magnoliopsida; Solanales; Solanaceae. The record is from RNAcentral.
UUGUUAUAGAGCAUCCUGAGUUUUUUUAAGGUUAUUUAUAUGUGUUGUCUUCAUGGAUAGCUUAACAUGAUCUUAGGAUACUGUACUGCCAUCGCUUUCUAUGAUUUUCAAAUUUUAUUACAGGAUACUAUAGUGUUAUACCUCUCUGUGAUUUUGAAAUAUGAUUAUUUUAGGCCAACAUGAGCUUUUUCUUUGACAUUUUUCAUCUCUAUUAUAUUUCUGGACAACUUGAUGUCAUCCUGCAGUUUCAUUUCCCCCUAUGACGUACCCAGGGUACAUUGGUUAGUGACGAAGUUGGGCUGUAAAAUCAGAACGUUGAUGACACAUUCACGAGGAAACAAUAUUAUUCGAUCUCCUUGCAAAACGUAUACAGUUCUCUUAGUUCCAACUUACUUCGCUGAUUGAUAAAACUAAAACAUAAUAUCCCUAACUUUUGAAUUGAUAAUACUGAAAUAUAAUAUAUUUGCUUCUUUCCUCACAAUUUUGACUGUUCCUAUAUUUUCCAAUUCAUUAUUUUUGCCUUUUACAUAUUCUGAACUGAUUUCACUAAUUUUGGAUCCAAUAGAAUCUGUUUCACAGAGGCAACACAAACAUUGACACUAUGGAGCACAAUACCGCAUGUGAGUGUUUUGCUGUUUACCGUAAGGACUCCAAUUUGAGCCUCUUUUUUCUAAUUUGCUCAUAUUUUUCUUAAACUUUUAUGAAAUAAUUGCCUUCUUUUGGUGAACNNNN